RNAcentral lists this ribosomal RNA (101 nucleotides) under uncultured bacterium. Its description in RNAcentral is "partial 16S ribosomal RNA". The record is from RNAcentral.
AAGACGGCCCUACGGGUUGUAACUGCUUUAUACCGGAAUAACCUUUGUUCGUGAACAGGAGCUGAAUGUACGGUAAGAAUAAGGAUCGGCUAACUCCGUGC